AACCAAUGCCCUUCGGGGCUCUUGGUGAUUCAUAAUAACUUCUCAGAUCGCAUGGCCUUGCGCCGGGCGACGGUUCAUUCAAAUUUCUGCCCUAUCAACUUUCGAUGGUAAGGUAUUGGCUUACCAUGGUGGCAACGGGUAACGGGGAAUUAGGGUUCGAUUCCGGAGAGUUAGCCUGAGAAACGGCUAACACAUCCAAGGAAGGCAGCAGGCGCGCAAAUUACCCAAUCCCGAUACGGGGAGGUAGUGACAAUAAAUACUGAUACAGGGCUCUUUUGGGUCUUGUAAUUGGAAUGAGUACAAUUUAAACCUCUUAACGAGGAACAAUUGGAGGGCAAGUCUGGUGCCAGCAGCCGCGGUAAUUCCAGCUCCAAUAGCGUAUAUUAAAGUUGUUGCAGUUAAAAAGCUCGUAGUUGAACCUUUGGCCUGGCUGGCAGGUCCGCCUCACCGCGUGCACUUGUCCGGCCGGGCCUUUUCUUCUGGAGAACCGCAUGCCCUUCACUGGGUGUGUUGGGGACCAGGACUUUUACUUUGAAAAAAUUAGAGUGUUCAAAGCAGGCCUUUGCUCGAAUAUUACAGCAUGGAAUAAUAGAAUAGGACGUGCGGUUCUAUUUUGUUGGUUUCUAGGACCGCCGUAAUGAUUAAUAGGGACAGUCGGGGGCAUCAGUAUUCAAUUGUCAGAGGUGAAAUUCUUGGAUUUAUUGAAGACUAACUACUGCGAAAGCAUUUGCCAAGGAUGUUUUCAUUAAUCAGUGAACGAAAGUUAGGGGAUCGAAGACGAUCAGAUACCGUCGUAGUCUUAACCAUAAACUAUGCCGACUAGGGAUCGGGCGGUGUUACUAUUUUGACUCGCUCGGCACCUUACGAGAAAUCAAAGUGUUUGGGUCU
This 888-nucleotide ribosomal RNA is filed under the name Stagonospora forlicesenensis. RNAcentral's name for it is "SSU rRNA". It matches the Rfam family "Eukaryotic small subunit ribosomal RNA", at positions 220 to 1115 of the family's 1831-position model. The record is from RNAcentral. Lineage: Eukaryota; Fungi; Ascomycota; Dothideomycetes; Pleosporales; Massarinaceae.